This 1263-nucleotide ribosomal RNA is filed under the name uncultured bacterium. RNAcentral describes it as "bacterial SSU rRNA". It matches the Rfam family "Bacterial small subunit ribosomal RNA", at positions 30 to 1280 of the family's 1533-position model. The record is from RNAcentral.
AGACUUCUAGAAGAUCAGGCCUAACACAUGCAAGUCGAGGGGUAACAUAGUUUGCUUGCAAACUGAUGACGACCGGCGCACGGGUGCGGAACGCGUAUGGAACCUGCCCCUGUCAGGGGAAUAGCCCAGGGAAACUUGGAUUAAUGCCCCAUGGUAUCGUUUUAUCGCAUGAUAAGGUGAUUAAAGAUUUAUCGGACAGGGAUGGCCAUGCGUACCAUUAGUUAGAUGGUGGGGUAACGGCCCACCAUGGCAGCGAUGGUUAGGGGCCCUGAGAGGGGGAUCCCCCACACUGGUACUGAGACACGGACCAGACUCCUACGGGAGGCAGCAGUGAGGAAUAUUGGACAAUGGGCGGGAGCCUGAUCCAGCCAUGCCGCGUGCAGGAUGACGGCCCUAUGGGUUGUAAACUGCUUUUAUACGGGAAGAAACGCACCUACGUGUAGGUGUCUGACGGUACCGUAAGAAUAAGGACCGGCUAACUCCGUGCCAGCAGCCGCGGUAAUACGGAGGGUCCGAGCGUUAUCCGGAAUCAUUGGGUUUAAAGGGUCCGUAGGCGGGCAUGUAAGUCAGGGGUGAAAGUUUGUGGCUCAACCAUAAAAUUGCCUUUGAUACUGCAUGUCUUGAGUCAUGGUGGGGUUGCCGGAACAUGUGGUGUAGCGGUGAAAUGCAUAGAUAUCACAUAGAACACCGAUCGCGAAGGCAGGUGACCAACCAUGUACUGACGCUGAUGGACGAAAGCGUGGGUAGCGAACGGGAUUAGAUACCCCGGUAGUCCACGCCGUAAACGAUGGAUACUAGCUGUGGGGACUUCGGUCUCCGUGGCCAAGCGAAAGUGAUAAGUAUCCCACCUGGGGAGUACGUUCGCAAGAAUGAAACUCAAAGGAAUUGACGGGGGCCCGCACAAGCGGUGGAGCAUGUGGUUUAAUUCGAUGAUACGCGAGGAACCUUACCAGGGCUUAAAAUGCAGGCUGCAUAAGCUAGAGAUAGCUUUUUCUUCCGACUGCCUGCAAGGUGCUGCAUGGGUUGUCGUCAGCUCGGUGCCGUGAGGUGUCAGGUUAAGUCCUAUAACCAAGCGCAACCCCCUACCGGUUAGUUGCCAGCAAGUCAAAGAUGGGGGACUCUUAACGGGGACUGCCCGGUGCAAACCGUGGAGGAAAAGUGGGGGACGAACGCCAAAUCCUUCACGGGCCCUAACGUUCCUGGGGCUAACCACCUUGGCUACAAUGGGCCCGGGUACAAAAGGGGAAGCCCACCCCCCGCGAA